RNAcentral lists this ribosomal RNA (255 nucleotides) under uncultured bacterium. RNAcentral describes it as "partial 16S ribosomal RNA". It matches the Rfam family "Bacterial small subunit ribosomal RNA", at positions 99 to 354 of the family's 1533-position model. The record is from RNAcentral.
CGGACGGGUGAGUAACGCGUGGGUAACCUGCCUCAUACAGGGGGAUAACAGUUAGAAAUGACUGCUAAUACCGCAUAAGCGCACGAGGAUGCAUGUUCUUGUGUGAAAAACUCCGGUGGUAUGAGAUGGACCCGCGUCUGAUUAGCUAGUUGGAGGGGUAACGGCCCACCAAGGCGACGAUCAGUAGCCGACCUGAGAGGGUGACCGGCCACAUUGGGACUGAGACACGGCCCAAACUCCUACGGAAGGCAGCAG